CCCAAUGGACACAUUCUGAGAAACUCCUUUAAAAUGGUUUUGUCCCCUUUCUGUGAAGCAAGUUCUGAUUGGAGGGGUAUUCACAAACCAUAUAGGAAAGAAUCGGUUUGAAAAUGCAAAGACCAUUCUUACCCAGAUGGGCAAUGAAUAGGCGUUUGGGCAGUUAAAAAACAAAACAAAACAAAACAAAAAAAAAAAAGGAAGAAAAAAGGAAAAAAAAAAAAGCCCAGACAACAGUGUAGAUUAUGCACAUUUGCAAUCCUCCUGAGAUGCAAUUUGAAGCUGGCAUGGCAUAAAGGUGAAACAUAUUACUGUGCAACUUUGAAAAAAGCUCCGGUUUCCCCCUAUGCAAAUGUACCGAUUAAACUGUCAGGCUAUUCACAGAAACAUGCAUGGAAUUCAUCCCCAAACAGUAAGAAGGAGCACAACACGGAUGGGAAAGGGAAAAACUUUUGUUGUGUAAUACAUGACUGAGUGCUUAGAUUAGUAUUUCCUUGAAUCUCAUCCACCCCUCCUUCUGACUUUCACGCUAAGGGUGUUCGAAGGAAGGCAGAUUUUACCAUGACAAUGACAGUGACAACCUCUCCAAGUACAGUACCAGAGGGGAGGACAAAGGUAGAAGGAAACAGCAGGCAGUGUGCUCUUGGAAGAUGCUUUAAAAUAUGUGGAAGUGCAGCUGUGAGAUACAUCAAGUACAGCUUGAAGGAAGAUUUCUAUACAUCAAAGCUACAACACAUAGAUCUACAUACAGGUGGAAAGAUAUGGCUCACAAAGGUGAUUUUUUUUGUUUGUCAGAAACAUAGAGAAUGAUCCCAGCAAAUGCAUGACGUAGCACAGUUACAAAGAUGUUCAGAAUACUGAAGACUGCAGGUCAUACACAAAUGGCUAUGCUGUAUGUUUUAAAAUGUAAAGUUUUUUUUAUAUAGCCACUAGAUGUCCCUUUCUGCAAAGCCAAUGCUUGUUGCUUUGAAGCUCGUCACUGCAAGGUAUCACAGAAUUUGAUUUUCUCUACUGCCCUUCAAAAUCACAGUCUCUCAAAGCUUCCUGCACAGUGAUGACUGACCGUUCUAGAAACAGUGAUGAGGAAAUCACUGCAGCUUCUGUAAGCCAGCAGUAGCCCAGUGCAUGGCCUUCACCUGGAGCAAACUGCCAAUGUUGCUGGAAUCCGGGCUCUUUUUUGAAACUUACUGUGUGGUCUUUCACAGAAAUAACUUAGCAGGGGGAGCUCCAAAGUCUCUGCUCUUCCCUUUAUACUUAAAGAGUGAAAUAGUCACCUCCUAUACUUGAGAGCUAGUAGGCCUGUUGAAACGUAAAUGGAUUGAGUUUGGGCCUCAAUUUUCUGCAGAAGCAUUCAGAAAAUUGUUUGGCAACCCAUCUCACUGAUACUUAGACAAGAUUAACUAGAACUAUUUUGAUAUUGCUGCUUUUGCUUGUCUUCCUGACAAGCUUCUCAGGCCUUGCACUGAGAAGAACUCCCACUCUGAGAGACUGAAGAAAAGCUGGAGGCAUUUUAUCUCCUACAGAAUAUGUGCACCUGUAAUCCAGUUCCUGGAAGCACCACAAACUGAAUUAACCUGCUGCUGCUGGAGACCAGCAUAAUCAGCUACUCUUUACUCUUUGUCCCAACAGUGGCUUAUUUUGGUAAUAUCUAACCCAUGCUCUCCAAAUCAAGUGCUGGAUAAUCACAGCGUCCUGGCUGUAUCAAAAGGACACAUGAAGUUCUUCACGCAGUCAUCAAGUUUACUCCUCUUCCUUGUGGUGGGAACAAUUUACUUACACUACGUGCUCAGAAAUUUGCCUAAGACAUUUGCAAAAACCACCAAUGUGUGGGAUUUCCACUCUCUCCUCAGACAGACAGUCUACCAUCUUCAUAGUUAUAAAGUUUUCCCUAACCCUGUGCAUCCAGCACUGCAAUAGAGAAUGCUUUUAAAUCCCCAUUGGUCUUAAGGACCCAUCUUUUAGACUGGCAUUUUUGCUCAGUAACAAUGCUAAUGAAACGCUUGCCUGAGACACCUCAGAUACAAUACAGUUCAAAUAACUUACAGAAUAAAUAAAAUCAAGCAAAUAAAGCCCUGUUAUCAAAAUUAAACUCUACAGAUUUUCCUUAAAAAAAAUGCAUGUCUCAGUAAAGAAUGCUUAAUUUGGAAUGAAAAAUCUCAAGUCUUGCAUAAACAUGACAGUUCAUUAGAAAUACUGCAUUUCUAUCACAACAUAUGAAAGCCCCACAAUUACCAUAGGAAGGUUUCUCAUUUCCAUACAUCAGCAUCUCCUGUUCCAACCUUAGUAAUCAAAAACCACGGGUGCGUUCUUCAGCUCCAAUGACCUGAUUUAUCCCCAGUGAUGAAGUUUUAUGUUCAGUUGUUCUGAAAUUAGUUAUUCUAAAAUAAAACUGCAUUAACAGAGUAAAAAUUCAUAUCUAGUGUUGCCAUUGACAAAAUUAGUCCUACAUCAGGUUUCAACUCUCUGAGACCAAAUUUAACAGAAGGACUCUUUCCUACUCAAAGAAGUGACCUGAAUUUAAAAUCCUGAAAACUGGUAGUGGCUGACUUCUUAGUAUAUCUCAAUAAUGCCAGAGAGACCAAUUUAUCCAAUCCUGUACAGACUGAUUCUCCUGAAUAUUUGGCCUCAUUCUGAAAAGGGGCCUUCAAGGCACAAAGCUUGUACGGAGUUUCAGGAACACAGGAAGAGCAUUUGUAUCCUCAGCAGGAGAUCUGACCAGGAGCAGCCCUUGCUUUCUGUUGCUUUAAAGGUUUGCUGGAGUUUUCACCCAAUCAUCUGCUUGAACAUCUUGAAAAUCAGUAUCUCCUUCUAUAAUAUCUAUCCAAAACAAACACCAGAUGACACUACACGAAUUGCCCUAACCCUACCAGAUUGUUGUUAGAAUCAAAAUAUGUAGCAGUCUACAUUUAACAGGAAGUACUGUAUUUUUACCAGCACAACAUCUAUUAAUGUGUCAGUAAUAAAAUCUAUGGAAGAAAGAAUCACUGUGUUCUGAAAGCUGUCAAACUUCUCUAAAUUUCAUAGUCUAAUAACUACGUUUAUUUGAAAGACAGAAAUGCAUGCACACACGAACACAACCUUAUUCUCCAAACAUAUUGAGUAGAUGGCUAAUAAGAAAGAGUUUGUUUAAACUUUUUUGAGAAGACAGGCCUUUUCUGCAGACUAAGCAAUGUUCAGCAAAUGUCCUACGGACGAUUUAUUUAGCUAAUUGUCCUGUCCUUUUCAGCAUCUGUAGCGAUGAGAUAUCCACUUUUCAUCAAACUGAAGACUAAACCGUAGGUGUUCUGCACGGGGAAUUGCUUCUAUAUCCAGUGGACCUAAAUCUCUAAUGCUGAGCACAGAAGCCUCUAUUUCAGGCUAGACGCUAGGGGUGUAGGCAGUGAAUCACUUCCCUGUGCUUUGCCUGGAAGUCUGCAGGAAGAGUCCAUUAGCUGUAACCCCAUUUACUCCAGAUCUGCAGGGCAGCGAUGUCUGUGCCUCAGUGUCGCUUUGCAUGUAAAAAGAGAGAGCGCAUCAUGCACCCAGUUCUGUAGAAGGUACCUAAACUACUCUUUAUCCAAGAAAUGCAGAAGAACUUGUAAAGAACACUAGAGAAAGGUCAAGAACUAAUUCCAGAAGUCCUUUAAGAUUUUGUUCUCCAGGCUUACAAAAAUCAAGCUUUCUUCUGCCCUGCUCUGGUGCCUUGCUUCCUUUAUACCUCUUUAUGGUGAAAAUCCUACUUACAACUGCACAUACACACCAUCAACAGAAGAACCGCCAGAGCUGUUGUCAUAGCUGCACUGACAGAUAUUGCACCUGGAUGGCAAAGUCAUGAUUUGGGUGCUAAUUCUUGUGCCCUGACCACUUCUAACCAAUUUUCAUUAGCAAAAUGUGGGAUCACCAAACAACUGAAAAUAUGAAGUGAGAAAACUAUGCAAACACGCGGCCGCAUGAUGGCACCAUUUCCUAGGAAGAGAAACCAGGCUGUGCUCAUCUCCACUUCAUUAGGGAACAUUUUAAUAUUCUAAAUGAAAACUGUUUCAACUGCGCUCACUUGUUCCCAGAGAGCUCAUGCACGAUUAUGCCAAGCUCCAGCACGGCCCAACUGUUCUAAUUGGCUAUAAGUUUAAGGCAUUUGGGCUCUUUAAAAACCUAGGUGCAUGCAUCUAUUGCUGGUUUUCCUCCACAGUGCCAGGUGCUGUCGUUCACAAGGCACUCUGCACCAGGGGGUAUGCAGCAAAAGAGCCACCAACUAGGGAAGAGGGAAAAGGCACGGGAAUUACAGGUUCUCUCCCAGUACCACGUUAAGACUCCACUUCAAAACCACUUGGAACGAAAGAGCUCCCAUUGUUCAGCCAAGAACAAUAAAAUAAUUGUUUUAUUCUGUUAUUUUAUUUGAAUACUGCUCUGGCCCUACCUUGUUCUAAAGUUAUUGAGUGGGAUCACAGCACAAGGAUUAUACAGCUACUCUACCAUGGCUAAACAAGAGAAAAGAGGAGAAAAUGACCAUGAAAAGCUGAGAUGAAAAGAGCAAAAAAGCUCUACUACUAAACAAAUCACAGUGAUGAAAUGGAACAGAAGGUGACCAAGUCUAUUUUUACAUUUGUAGAUUUGGAGUUGCGUAGUUGCAACAAACCUGACAACUGAUGUGCCAGUCAGUGCUUCCCAAAGCAUGGAAGGUGUUUCCUCACAGCAUACAAAGAACAAACCACCAAGAGACAUAGAAGCACUGAGUUACACGGGGUUUAAACAACACACAGCAGGACAAAAGAUGAUGUAGAUGUAACUGCUUCAGAUUUCUUCAAGGAAGAGUCACCCGUGAAACACAGGAAAAUCUUUUGUGUCUGACUGCUACAUGAAAUGUCCCUCUGUGGACCAUGCUAGGGAAAUACUCAUUUAGUUCAGUCAUCUCAACCGAUUAGGACUGAGGAGAUGACAGCAGCAGCACGCAUGAUUAAGAUAUGAAAUAACAAUGAUUGGCAUGAUUAUUUCCACCGUAUUCUGCACAAUUUCCUUUUGCACUAUUAGCUAUUAGACUGCUCACGUUCUCUGAACAUGAGAAAAAACUUCAUUACUUUGAUGGUGACAGAGCACUGGAACAAGCUGCCCAGAGAGGUUGUGGAGUCUCCUCUGGAGAUACUCAAAACCUGCCUGGACAUUUUCCUGUGCAACCUACUCCAGGGAACCCGCUUUAGCAGAGGGGACUAGAUGAUCUCUAGAUGUCCCUCCCAACUUCUAUGGUUCUUUGACUCUGUGUGAUUCUGUGAUCUUC
Long non-coding RNA from Numida meleagris (helmeted guineafowl), 5251 nucleotides. RefSeq lists it as uncharacterized. The transcript is spliced from 3 exons. The record is from RefSeq and is a predicted model, not a curated record. Lineage: Eukaryota; Metazoa; Chordata; Aves; Galliformes; Numididae.